GUGGUCACAAAUAUCCACCAUAGCUUCCACUUGCAACCCUCAUCUCAUGCUCGGAGACUUGUGCUUCCCCACCUUCUUCCUCUCAAGAUGCUCUCAGGAGAUGACAGCAGCUUCCAUCUUAGCAACAGAGGACUCAGGUACAUGAAACAGCAGCCAUCGGAGGGCAUUGAAGGCCUUCGCAUUCUCAUACAUCACAAGGAGCAAGGAGCCAAUGUUGUGGUGAAAGCUAAGAUGAUGAUGAUGAUGAUGCCGACGACGACAACAUGCAAUCUGAACUCUCAGGCUUACCAUCUUCCAAAGGGUUUGCCAUGGUUGGCCUUACUGAAGAAAUGCUGCUUGUGCAGGAGGGAGCUGAGCCCUGCCAAUGAUGUUUACAUGUACAGGGGAGACAAGGGAUUUUGCAGUGAAGAAUGCCGGUCUCGCCAAAUUCUACUAGAUGAACGGAGAGAGUUCGAAGCGGCAACAAGGGAGAGAUUGAAGCUACCUCGUGCCGGCAAUGAGAUUGGCGAAUCAGAUCGAAGCAGGAGGAUACCGACACUGGUUUAAAGAAUUCUUCUAUUGAGCUAGAAAGUUUGAAGAAGAUGUUAUGAAUCCAAUAAUCCGUUUUUUUUUUUUCUCCUUUUUUUUUUUUGGUUAAAGGAGAAGAUGUAACAUUUUAUUUUAGCGUUGUGUGUAUGUAUAUAUAUAUAAAUAAAUAAAAUGUAUUUAUUUAAUGAUACAGAAAUAGUCUGCAUCAGAUGCAGAUUUAUCUUUGUUCA
Long non-coding RNA from Musa acuminata AAA Group (dessert banana), 758 nucleotides. RefSeq lists it as uncharacterized. The record is from RefSeq and is a predicted model, not a curated record. Lineage: Eukaryota; Viridiplantae; Streptophyta; Magnoliopsida; Zingiberales; Musaceae. The transcript has 2 exons.